UGUGUUACCUCGGGGUGCCUGGACGGCGGUUCAGGCUGAGAUGCUGAGCAAGAGGCGAACCCGUUGAACCUGAACCGGUUAAGACCGGCGGAGGGAAGGUCUGGGAGACUCCC
RNAcentral lists this non-coding RNA (113 nucleotides) under Paracoccaceae bacterium. Its description in RNAcentral is "Rhodobacteraceae bacterium TPP sequence". It matches the Rfam family "TPP riboswitch aptamer (THI element)". Rfam says of the family: Vitamin B(1) in its active form thiamin pyrophosphate (TPP) is an essential coenzyme that is synthesised by coupling of pyrimidine and thiazole moieties in bacteria. Lineage: Bacteria; Pseudomonadati; Pseudomonadota; Alphaproteobacteria; Rhodobacterales; Paracoccaceae. The record is from RNAcentral.